This 802-nucleotide ribosomal RNA is filed under the name Plasmopara obducens. RNAcentral describes it as "LSU rRNA". It matches the Rfam family "Eukaryotic large subunit ribosomal RNA", at positions 38 to 669 of the family's 3401-position model. The record is from RNAcentral. Lineage: Eukaryota; Oomycota; Peronosporomycetes; Peronosporales; Peronosporaceae.
GCAUAUCAAUAAGCGGAGGAAAAGAAACUAACAAGGAUUCCCCUGGUAACGGCGAGUGAAGCGGGAUGAGCUCAAGCUUAAAAUCUCCGUGCAAUUUUUGCACGGCGAAUUGUAGUCUAUAGAGGCGUGGUCAGUAUAAGCACUUGGGGUAAGUUCCUUGGAAAAGGACAGCAUGGAGGGUGAUACUCCCGUUCAUCUCUAAGUUGCUUGUGCGUACGACCCGUUUUCUUUGAGUCGCGUUGUUUGAGAAUGCAGCGCAAAGUAGGUGGUAAAUUCCAUCUAAAGCUAAAUAUUGGUGCGAGACCGAUAGCAAACAAGUACCGUGAGGGAAAGAUGAAAAGAACUUUGAAAAUAGAGUUAAAGAGUACCUGAAACUGCUGAAAGGGAACCAAAUCGUUUCCAGUGUCUAUAAUCCGUGGUAUAUUUCAUUGGCGAGUGUGUGCGUGCGUGUGCUGUUGCAGUGGCUUUUUGGCUGCGCUCGGUGUGUGUGCUGUGUGUACUUGCUGGUGCCCUGUGCUGCGGUGGGACGUCAAGGUCAGUUCGUAUGCUGCGGGAAAUGGCUACUGAGGAGGUAGGGCUUACGCUUGCGUUUGUCUGUUAUAUCUUGGUGGACGAGUCGUCGCGGUUGGGACUGAGGUGCCUACAACGUGCUUUUGAGUGGGCUUGGGUCUCCGUGUGCGCCGUGUGCGGAUAGCUUGCUAUGCGUGUGUGGUUGUAUGUGGAUUGAUGCGAGCCGUAACUUGUAGUCGUUCGGGACGUUGACGAAAUGGAGCGAUUUGACCCGUCUUGAAACACGGACCAA